CGCGAAUUGUCUAGAACUUUCUGGAAGACACGCGGGCAUCAGGGAUUAAUCUGGAACCUUCGAUGACUCAGGUAUAAAAGCCGACGCGUUUCGCCGCUGAUCAGAUUUCGACGACCGCCGACUGUGUUCGCCGCUUUCGUUGUGCUUCGAGUGUAGCUUGCUUUUGUGGGCACAGCAUAGAGAAAGAAAUUCAACAAGAGGGGACACUCGGCAAAAACUGGCAACAGGAAACACGUCACCAUACGUCACGCUAUACUUUUGACACCGAACGUUAGCUGCCGCGAGCAUCGAAAAAAAAGAAAGUGAACUUAAGUUAACAGGCAUUGAUUUAUUUUUUUAAUUCUUUGCCGCGAAAACUAAAACGUUUUGCGUAUAAAUGAACUUAAGCUUUGCGACUUAUUUUCCUUGCCUUACCUAGCCACAGGUCAAUGACGCGCCAGAUACAUGCGUCAUCCGCCAGACACUCCCCCGAAGCCAGCGAGGAUGGCUGCGCGCGCGUUUGAGCGCUCGCGCGCGGCGACCCGUCUGUCUCCUUCUUUUUUUCUUUUUUAAAUGUAACCUGGUUUAUUGGGCUCCCGGCGUAUUCUUGCGUUCCUUCUGCACUGGGACAAGACACCACUGCACUAUUGGACUACGGCAAGCUGGUGCCGUCCGGUGGAGCUUCAUACAGGAACUACUGCCUUACCUGCUGGUGUCACAACGUUGGAUGAACGCACAAAAAGCGCGGAACGAGCUUUUAUAUAGAGCAAAAUAAAUAUUUCCUCAUUGCACAAAA
Dermacentor silvarum is the source of this 775-nucleotide long non-coding RNA. RefSeq lists it as uncharacterized. The record is from RefSeq and is a predicted model, not a curated record. The transcript has 2 exons. Lineage: Eukaryota; Metazoa; Arthropoda; Arachnida; Ixodida; Ixodidae.